Pygocentrus nattereri (red-bellied piranha) is the source of this 679-nucleotide long non-coding RNA. NCBI's taxonomy places the organism in Eukaryota, Metazoa, Chordata, Actinopteri, Characiformes, Serrasalmidae. The record is from Ensembl.
GCCAGUGUAGUGUCCACUUUAAUGUUGACAAAGCCAAAUGUCAGCCGUCUCUCACCACUCUGUGGGCUCUGGAAAGAGCAAACAAGAGGACGUAGAUCUGCACUUGGUUCUCGAUUUUUGUCCACUAACUCAUCCUGCAGGUUUCGGGAUAUCGACACUGUUCCAGCUCCGGGAUGUUCAGUCUGACCGGGAAUGAAUAAAACAGAUGUUGACGCAUCGGAUGGACAGUGGAAACGUUUUCCUCCUCUGAGUGAAGCAGGAGAGCCGAGAGGAAAGCAGCGUUCCUGUGAAUCGCUGGCUGGAUAAGAGUGACUGGCCUGACCUUUGACCUCAGUGUCAUCAUCAUCUUUGACUCCUCAGACUUCUAAACAUGCAGGUACGACAGGAACAGUCCCAGGCACUUCAGGGCUGCCUGGGAAUGGUGGAGCUGUGGAGCCCUGCUGAGAUUUGGUGAAAGGCUAAUGUGGCUAACAGGUAAUGGAAGCUUGGAGCAACAAUGAGCAUGAUGCUAGCUGCAUGUCCAACUCAAGUUUUGUCGUAGCUUCUAAACUGUAGCCACUGCAGUUGCUAAUAGGUCGGUGGGUUGUGGUGGUCCCCCAUCUGAACUGGUCCACCGGGAGCCCUCUGAGACACACAAAGCUCCACCACAUCUUUUCAAACUGCCACUAGCCCAAUGUCA